This 937-nucleotide ribosomal RNA is filed under the name Periconia delonicis. Its description in RNAcentral is "partial large subunit ribosomal RNA". It matches the Rfam family "Eukaryotic large subunit ribosomal RNA", at positions 31 to 984 of the family's 3401-position model. The record is from RNAcentral. Lineage: Eukaryota; Fungi; Ascomycota; Dothideomycetes; Pleosporales; Periconiaceae.
GACUUAAGCAUAUCAAUAAGCGGAGGAAAAGAAACCAACAGGGAUUGCCCUAGUAACGGCGAGUGAAGCGGCAACAGCUCAAAUUUGAAAUCUGGCUCCUUCGGGGUCCGAGUUGUAAUUUGCAGAGGGUGCUUUGGCGUUGGCGGCGGUCUAAGUUCCUUGGAACAGGACAUCACAGAGGGUGAGAAUCCCGUACGUGGUCGCCGGCCUUCGCCGUGUAAAGCCCCUUCGACGAGUCGAGUUGUUUGGGAAUGCAGCUCUAAAUGGGAGGUAAAUUUCUUCUAAAGCUAAAUACCGGCCAGAGACCGAUAGCGCACAAGUAGAGUGAUCGAAAGAUGAAAAGCACUUUGGAAAGAGAGUCAAACAGCACGUGAAAUUGUUAUAAGGGAAGCGCUUGCAGCCAGACUUGCCUGUAGUUGCUCACCUGGGCUCUUGCCCGGGGCACUCUUCUGCAGGCAGGCCAGCAUCAGUUUGGGCGGUCGGAUAAAGGCCUCUGACACGUACUUCCUUUCGGGGUUGACAUAUAGGGGAGGCGCAAUGCGACCAGCCUGGACUGAGGUCCGCGCAUCUGCUAGGAUGCUGGCGUAAUGGCUGUAAGCGGCCCGUCUUGAAACACGGACCAAGGAGUCUAACAUCUAUGCGAGUGUUUGGGUGUCAAGCCCGAGCGCGUAAUGAAAGUGAACGGAGGUGGGAACCCCUCGGGGCGCACCAUCGACCGAUCCUGAUGUCUUCGGAUGGAUUUGAGUAAGAGCAUAGCUGUUGGGACCCGAAAGAUGGUGAACUAUGCUUGAAUAGGGUGAAGCCAGAGGAAACUCUGGUGGAGGCUCGCAGCGGUUCUGACGUGCAAAUCGAUCGUCAAAUUUGGGCAUAGGGGCGAAAGACUAAUCGAACUAUCUAGUAGCUGGUUUCCUGCAGAAGUUCCCCUCCAGGAUUACUA